RNAcentral lists this ribosomal RNA (497 nucleotides) under uncultured bacterium. RNAcentral describes it as "partial 16S ribosomal RNA". It matches the Rfam family "Bacterial small subunit ribosomal RNA", at positions 899 to 1397 of the family's 1533-position model. The record is from RNAcentral.
ACUCAAAGGAAUUGACGGGGGCCCGCACAAGCAGUGGAGCAUGUGGUUUAAUUCGAUGCAACGCGAAGAACCUUACCUGGGCUUGAACUUUAGUGGAAGAUAACAGAAACGUUAUCGCCGUAAGGCCGCUAGAGAGGUGCUGCAUGGCUGUCGUCAGCUCGUGCCGUGAGGUGUUUGGUUAAGUCCAGCAACGAGCGCAACCCUUAUCGUUAGUUGCCAGCGAGUAAUGUCGGGAACUCUAGCGAGACUGCCUAGGUCAACUAGGAGGAAGGUGAGGAUGACGUCAAGUCCGCAUGGCCUUUAUGUCCAGGGCUACACACGUGCUACAAUGGCCAGUACAGAAGGUUGCCAACCCGCGAGGGGGAGCUAAUCCUAUAAAGCUGGUCUCAGUUCGGAUUGCAGCCUGCAACUCGGCUGCAUGAAGUUGGAAUUGCUAGUAAUGGCGUGUCAGCUACAACGCCGUGAAUACGUUCCCGGGCCUUGUACACACCGCCCGU